UCCUUUUACUUUAAGUUCUAUUUAUACCUUACUCUAUAUGUUAACCAGUCUUGCCAUGUUUUUUCGUGCCAACCUUCUCUUCCUUCUAUUUUAUUUACUAUUCUUUCGUAUUGGUACGUCUUAUCUACUCUUUCUUGCACUUCCGAGACAUUUGGUGGAAGUAUUUUUUUCCAAUUUUGAGCAAUGCUUAUUUACGCAGCGAU
Molecule: non-coding RNA, 203 nt
Organism: Pelobates cultripes (western spadefoot toad)
Lineage: Eukaryota; Metazoa; Chordata; Amphibia; Anura; Pelobatidae
Source: the annotation of a GenBank genome assembly